RNAcentral lists this unclassified non-coding RNA (400 nucleotides) under soil metagenome. RNAcentral describes it as "partial contains 5.8S ribosomal RNA, internal transcribed spacer 2, and large subunit ribosomal RNA". The stretch from base 1 to 122 matches the Rfam family "5.8S ribosomal RNA", at positions 35 to 154 of the family's 154-position model. The record is from RNAcentral.
GAUGAAGAACGCAGCGAAAUGCGAUACUUGGUGUGAAUUGCAGAAUCCCGUGAACCAUCGAGUCUUUGAACGCAAGUUGCGCCUCAAGCCAUUAGGUUGAGGGCACGUCUGCCUGGGCGUCACAUAUCGUUGACUGAUGCCAGUUUCCUCGUGAUGGGUGACUGUGCAGGGCGAAUGAUGGCUUCCCGUGAGCAUUGUUGCCUCAUGGUUGGUUGAAAAUUGAGUCCUUGGUAGGGAGCGCCGUGAUAGAUGGUGGUUGAGUGACGAACGAGACCCAAUCAUGUGAGACCCCUACCGAAUUUGGCCUUCAUGACCCACAUGCGUCUUUGGAACGCUCAUGACGAGACCUCAGGUCAGGCGGGGCUACCCGCUGAGUUUAAGCAUAUCAAUAAGCGGAGGA